AUUGAACGCUGGCGGCGUGCUUAACACAUGCAAGUCGAGCGGUAAGGCCCUUUCGGGGGUACACGAGCGGCGAACGGGUGAGUAACACGUGGGUGACCUGCCCUCAGCUCUGGGAUAAGCCUGGGAAACUGGGUCUAAUACUGGAUAUGACUCCACGGUGCAUGUCGUGGGGUGGAAAGCCUUGUGCGGCUGAGGAUGGGCCCGCGGCCUAUCAGCUUGUUGGUGGGGUGAUGGCCUACCAAGGCGACGACGGGUAGCCGGCCUGAGAGGGCGACCGGCCACACUGGGACUGAGACACGGCCCAGACUCCUACGGGAGGCAGCAGUGGGGAAUCUUGCGCAAUGGGCGAAAGCCUGACGCAGCGACGCCGCGUGAGGGAUGACGGCCUCGGUU
Molecule: ribosomal RNA, 393 nt
Filed under: uncultured bacterium
Lineage: Bacteria
Description: bacterial SSU rRNA
Rfam family: Bacterial small subunit ribosomal RNA
Source: RNAcentral